CCUACGGGCGGCAGCAGUGGGGGAUAUUGCACAAUGGGGGAAACCCUGAUGCAGCGACGCCGCGUGAGUGAAGAAGUAUUUCGGUAUGUAAACCUCUUUUGUCAGGGAGCAAAGGGCGCCACGUGUGGCGUUUUGCGAGUACCUGAAGAAAAAGCAUCGGCUAACUCCGUGCCAGCAGCCGCGGUAAUACGGAGGAUGCGAGCGUUAUCCGGAUUUAUUGGGUUUAAAGGGUGCGCAGGCGGCCUGUUAAGUCAGCGGUAAAAGCGCGGGGCUCAACCCCGGCGAGCCGUUGAAACUGGCGGGCUGGAGUUGGAGAGAAGUACGCGGAAUGCGCGGUGUAGCGGUGAAAUGCUUAGAUAUCGCGCAGAACCCCGAUUGCGAAGGCAGCGUACCGGCUCCACACUGACGCUGAGGCACGAAAGCGUGGGUAUCGAACAGGAUUAGAUACCCUUGUAGUC
Molecule: ribosomal RNA, 458 nt
Filed under: uncultured bacterium
Lineage: Bacteria
Description: partial 16S ribosomal RNA
Rfam family: Bacterial small subunit ribosomal RNA
Source: RNAcentral